AACGAACGCUGGCGGCAUGCCUAACACAUGCAAGUCGAACGAGAUCCUUCGGGGUCUAGUGGCGCACGGGUGCGUAACGCGUGGGAAUCUGCCCUUAGGUUCGGAAUAACAGUUAGAAAUGACUGCUAAUACCGGAUGAUGACGUUAAGUCCAAAGAUUUAUCGCCUGAGGAUGAGCCCGCGUAGGAUUAGCUAGUUGGUGUGGUAAAGGCGCACCAAGGCGACGAUCCUUAGCUGGUCUGAGAGGAUGAUCAGCCACACUGGGACUGAGACACGGCCCAGAAUCCUACGGGAGGCAGCAGUGGGGAAUAUUGGACAAUGGGCGCAAGCAUGAUCCAGCAAUGCCGCGUGAGUGAUGAAGGCCUUAGGGUUGUAAAGCUCUUUUACACGGGAUGAUAAUGACAGUACCGGGAGAAUAAGCCCCGGCUAACUCCGUG
RNAcentral lists this ribosomal RNA (436 nucleotides) under uncultured bacterium. RNAcentral describes it as "partial 16S ribosomal RNA". It matches the Rfam family "Bacterial small subunit ribosomal RNA", at positions 29 to 507 of the family's 1533-position model. The record is from RNAcentral.